GCACUUCAAAGACCAAACAGUCAGUUGAGAGAAGAGAAAGUCGACGAAAAAAAUGUCAACAUUAGUUUUGACCACUGUUUUUGUUAUUCUGUGCUGUGCAUUAUUCAUGUCUGUGGAAUCAAGAAAAUUGUAUGAAGAAUUUCUUUUAGCUAGAAUUGACUAAGAUGUGCACAUGCUGAGAUAUCGACUGAGGUACAACCUAAGUGGAACAGU
This 213-nucleotide long non-coding RNA is filed under the name Mytilus galloprovincialis (Mediterranean mussel). Lineage: Eukaryota; Metazoa; Mollusca; Bivalvia; Mytilida; Mytilidae. The record is from RNAcentral.